ACGCACGCUGGCGGCCUGCCUCACCCAUGCAAGUCGCACGAGACCUUCGGGUCUAGUGGCGCACGGGUGCGUAACGCGUGGGAACCUGCCCUUAGGUUCGGAAUAACUCCCCGAAAGGGGUGCUAAUACCGGAUAAUGUCUUCGGACCAAAGAUUUAUCGCCUUUGGAUGGGCCCGCGUUGGAUUAGCUAGUUGGUAGGGUAAAAGCCUACCAAGGCGACGAUCCAUAGCUGGUCUGAGAGGAUGAUCAGCCACACUGGGACUGAGACACGGCCCAGACUCCUACGGGAGGCAGCAGUGGGGAAUAUUGGACAAUGGGCGAAAGCCUGAUCCAGCAAUGCCGCGUGAGUGAUGAAGGCCUUAGGGUUGUAAAGCUCUUUUACCCGGGUUGAUAAUGACAGUACCGGGAGAAUAAGCUCCGGCUAACUCCGUG
Molecule: ribosomal RNA, 432 nt
Filed under: uncultured bacterium
Lineage: Bacteria
Description: partial 16S ribosomal RNA
Rfam family: Bacterial small subunit ribosomal RNA
Source: RNAcentral